RNAcentral lists this transfer RNA (68 nucleotides) under Quedenfeldtia moerens. Its description in RNAcentral is "tRNA-Ser". Lineage: Eukaryota; Metazoa; Chordata; Lepidosauria; Squamata; Sphaerodactylidae. The record is from RNAcentral.
GAGAGGGCCCGACAACAGAUAGAACUGCUAAUUCAUCAUGCCCGGGGUUAGACUCCCCGGCCCACUUA